Molecule: ribosomal RNA, 406 nt
Filed under: uncultured bacterium
Lineage: Bacteria
Description: partial 16S ribosomal RNA
Rfam family: Bacterial small subunit ribosomal RNA
Source: RNAcentral
AUUGAACGCUGGCGGCAGGCCUAACACAUGCAAGUCGAACGAGGGGCGGGCGUGAGAGUUAUGUCUGGGAAACUGCCUGAUGGAGGGGGUAAACUACUGGAAACGGUUGCUAAAACCGCAUACCAUCAGCUGUGCCCAGAUGGGAUUAGCUAGUUGGUGGGGUAACGGCUUACAAAGGCGACGAUCCCUAGUUGGUCUGAGAGGAUGACCAGCCACACUGGAACUGAGACACGGUCCAGACUCCUACGGGAGGAAGCAGUGGGGAAGAUUGGACAAUGGGCGCAAGCCUGAUGCAGCCAUGCCGCGUGUAUGAAGAAGGCCUUCGGGUUGUAAAGUACUUUAAGCGGUGAGGCGUUACCCGCAGAAGAAGCACCGGCUAACUCCGUGCCAGCCGCCGCGGUAAUAC